RNAcentral lists this ribosomal RNA (354 nucleotides) under uncultured Desulfobulbus sp. RNAcentral describes it as "bacterial SSU rRNA". It matches the Rfam family "Bacterial small subunit ribosomal RNA", at positions 1028 to 1382 of the family's 1533-position model. The record is from RNAcentral. Lineage: Bacteria; Pseudomonadati; Thermodesulfobacteriota; Desulfobulbia; Desulfobulbales; Desulfobulbaceae.
CUGGAGACAGGUGCUGCAUGGCUGUCGUCAGCUCGUGUCGUGAGAUGUUGGGUUAAGUCCCGCAACGAGCGCAACCCUUGCCUUUAGUUGCCAGCAGUUCGGCUGGGCACUCUAAAGGGACUGCCGGUGUUAAACCGGAGGAAGGUGGGGAUGACGUCAAGUCCUCAUGGCCCUUAUGACCAGGGCUACACACGUACUACAAUGGCCGAUACAAAGGGCAGCGACACUGCGAGGUGAAGCCAAUCCCGUAAAAUCGGUCUCAGUCCGGAUUGGAGUCUGCAACUCGACUCCAUGAAGUUGGAAUCGCUAGUAAUCGUGGAUCAGCAUGCCACGGUGAAUACGUUCCCGGGCCUU